Molecule: long non-coding RNA, 28799 nt
Filed under: Gossypium raimondii (Peruvian cotton)
Lineage: Eukaryota; Viridiplantae; Streptophyta; Magnoliopsida; Malvales; Malvaceae
Description: long non-coding RNA (GRAI_LNC001196)
Source: RNAcentral
UAUAUCAAAGUAUAUGAGUUACAAAUACAUAGUUCAUUAUCCACUCAGGAUUAAUGUAUGUCACAUUAUGAACGUCACAAGUGAAUAAAUCCAUAAACGAAUAUAGGAUAAAUUCUACUUGGGUCUUGUCUGAUGUAUUGUCUAUCCAAACAACGACAUCUAUGUCUCUGUCUUCUGGGAGUCAUCCACUCCGAUGCCCAAGAUAAUGCAUCUUCCUAAUUGGACUUGAUAAACUACAUCAUAGUCUUUCAAUCGAUUUGCUCAAUUUCGAUUAGAUUACUGGCUAUUAAGAUUAUCUACUAAUAUAAGUUGUCUUAUCGCAUUAUGAUCCUACCACAUAAUGCAACUUAAUAUUAGUUAAACAUUAAAUGAUAAUCAAUGUGCCAAUAUUUGCUUACAUUUUGCUUUUCAUACAAAAAUUGUUAAGGACAUAUGCAAAUGAUAGUAAUGUAUAAUGGAAUUUUAUUUAAACCAAUCUGUUUUAAAUAUUACAAACAUAAAUUGACGAAUAUACUACACUUAGGGCACUAGAUCCUAACAAUUCCCCAAAUUUGCUCCCUUCCAAUAUGCAAAUAUUUUUUGUGAUACUUAUCAGUGUUCUUUCUAUCUUCUAGAAUUUUUUGGACCAUCUUAAACUAAUGAAAUACCCAAUCACACCGAUGCCACUAAAUGCAAGAGAAGCGUAUAAAUGUGUACACAUUAAAAACAUCAUUAUGAACAUCUGUGUCCAUUGGUAGUAUGAUAAUAAUCUCUUCCACCUGGUAUGACAUCCGUACAAACUGCAAAAUUAAUAAAAUAAUUGCAUUUUAAUUCAAUUGUGAUAUUAAGUAUAUCAUUAUAAUACACAAUUUAUAAAAUUAUUUAAUUCAACAUCAAUAGAUGCUCAUAUUGCUACUGUAUUAUCCUUCUAGUAAGUUGUAUGAUCAUAACGCUUGGACCACCUGUUAAAAUAUCAAAUGUUAGUACCAAUAUAAAAAUGUUUAGAAUGUAAUAUAUUUUAUAACACAUGCUUUUAAUUUUACCAUAUUGCAAGAGGGAAUAUGAGAUUAUUAGAGGGGAUAAAUACUAUCCAUGGAAGUCUAUACCAUCCACACAAUUAUGAAAUCAUAAGACAACCAUUUCUUUCAUUAUUCUCCACUUAGCAUGCCUUACAUAUCAUUUUCGUAUAGGUAUGCCAAAAACAUAAAAUUCUAAUUGUAUAGUCCAGUUGUAUGCUUCAAAAUUAGAUAACAAUUAGAAAUACACAAAUGAACUAAGUUGCUAAACUUUUCAGGCAUUAGCACACCUCCAAUCAACUGAAGAAUGUAAGCUCUAGCAUGAUGUUGAAUAUCUUUGAGUGUUGGAUUAUUUAAGAGAUGCUCAAAGCGACUCUUUAACCAUGUUAACUUAAUUUGCAAUCAAAUUUAUGGUUUAUACAUGUUCCCAACAUUGAACAAGGACCUCCACCAGAUUGUACUAAAAUAUUCUCAUUAUUAGAUGCCUAUCCACUAGAAGACUCGUUAGUAACACUAAACAUUAAGUGUUAUUGUUGGUUUUGCAUGAAGAUGAAACAUAUGGGUCUCAGGUCUUUAUUAUUCAAUUAAAUAAAAAAUGAAUGUUAGCACAAAAGUAAAAUUAUUAAUUUGAUGUGAUAGAAAUCAUAUUUUAAGUGAAAAAUGAUUUUGUCAUCUAAUGCAUUCAUCUCUACAUUACUAUGACACCAAGCCACUAGAAAAGACUCCAUUGUUGUAGCAUUUUAAGUAACAUAUCCUUCUUUUGAUCUCAAUAAGGGGGAAAUCAUUAUGGUAUGCUUCAAAAUUCGAAGUUACAAAUCUUGGGUAUAUAAGAUAGUAUAAAAUAUAGAUAGAGAAUAUUUUAGGUUUCUAUGAAAAUUAAACAAGUGGAAUGAAUUGUUUAUAGGUUUUAAGAUUAGAGCUUUUAAUAUGACCUCGAUAGCCAUUUAUGACGAGGUCUUGUUAAAUUUAUAAUUUUUUUAAAGUAAACUACACCAUUAGUUAAUAAACUAUGAGUAAGUUUUCGUUUUGGUCACAUAACUAAAAAAAGUUACAAUUUGGUCACUGAAGUAUUCAGAACUUUUCAUUUAAGUCAUUGGAUUGUUAAAAUCGAUGCUAUAUGUCUUUCUUUAUUUGCAUUGCCUAUAAUAAUCGAAAGCUUUCUUUCCUCUUCUCUUUUAAAGUUCAUUUUUUAUGAAAUAGCUUUGAACGUCACGAAUCUGCAAACCAAAAUUUAAAUAGCUUUUUUCUUUGAUCUCCGACACUGACCGUCAGAUCAACUUGGACCUAAGAUAUGUUCUUCUACUCGUCGAUGGGUACUGAUCCACUGUACUAGCCAUUGAAUUGCCGCUUGGAGCUCGCUGGCGAAAGGUUUUUUUUUUUAAAGAAAAAUUUAGCAGCCUAAUGACUUAAAUGAAAUCUUUCGAAUAGUUCAACAACUAAUGGUUUAAUGACCAAAAUGAAAACUUACCCAUAGUUCAGUGACUAAUGGUGUGGUUUACCUUGAGGUGUUCAUGGGUUGGAUUGGGUUCAGGCUAGGCUUAAGCAUGAUAUUAACACACUUUAUACUUGCUCAAGCUUGGUCUGGCCUGAUCAUGGGCCUAAAAUUUUGCCCAAGCCCACCCAUAUUUGGAAUUAGUUAACCCAAGCCCAUUUAGGCCCUUCCAUAUUUUUAAAAUAUUUAUUUAUUUUAAUUUAAUAUUUAAUAAUUAUAUACUUUUUUUUAUUUAUUAUAGUUUUAUAUAUAGUCAUCUUAAUUUUUUUUUGAUGUUUACAUUAUAGAAGUAUUAUAUAUUACUAUAUAUCUAAUUUUUAUGUGUUACAAAUUACAUAAUAUAUAAAAACAACAUAAUAUAAAAUAUUACAAACUUGAAAAACGGAUCGGGUUGAGCUUAGGCCUUAAAUGUUAAGCUCGAGCUAGACCCAUAUUUUAAACGAGCCUAAUUUUUUCUUAAACCCAUUUUUAGGUGUAAUAUUUUUACCCACACUAUCUCAAAAUUCUAGCAGAUUUUCAACUUUGGACAAGUUUAAGUUUAUUUAUUUUUCAACAAUUAUGAUUUACUUUUUUAAAAAUUUACAAAUACUUUAAUUUUUGUAAAUAUCAUCCUUUACAAAUAUAUAAAUGAUUACAAUUUAAAAUUUUAAAAAUAUUUAUUUUAAUACUUCUAUACCAAAUUCUUUAAAAGAAAUUCUAAGAAAACUAAACAAAUUACAAGAAAAGAUAAAAUAUGAUUGUAGAAAGAAAGCAUCUCCUGUGCUCAACCUCAUACAAACCAGUUCUGUUUUUACAGCAUCAUCAUUUAUUUUUAAUUUUGUCCGACUUUUGACUUUCACUCCAUCAGAAGUCAAAAUAAAGGAGUGAGCCCAAGAAAAGUAUUAUGAGGAUGCGAACAGCAUAUAGAAACUUAAUAGUGGAAGGCUAUUUUGUUCAAAGUGAAAGACGGGCAAAUAAAAAUAAUAAAGUCGAGAAAAAAGCCAAAAUGAAAUCCAAUUUUGAAGUCCGUCGUUCUGGACAUUUCCAAGAAGAUCAAAAACAGAACAAGAGCCUGAAAACUCUUUAGUAUUUCUCUACGGUUUCCCUCACCGUAACAACCCUGUGGCUGUUUUCUUUUCUUUAGUUUAGUUAGAUUUUGUUGAUGGGCCAAUCAGUUUCGGCGGCGAAGCUAAGGAACCGUCGAGAUUGGAACCAUCGCCAACGGUCAAAACCGAAAUCAACGGCUCUGAUCUGUCCGAUGCAAGCUGAGGAAACUGAAGAGCUUGAACGAAGUAACACAGAUGGAUCGUCGGAUUUCAUCUCGGAUCUUCCUGACGAGUGUUUGGCUUGUAUUUUUCAGUCUCUUAGCCCCGCUGACCGAAAACGAUGCUCUCUAGUUUGCCGGCGGUGGCUUCUGAUUGAGGGACAGAGCCGUCACCGAUUAUCUCUCAACGCACAAUCAGAUCUGCAACCUCUCAUUCCUUCUAUCUUCUCUCGCUUCGAUGCUGUUACGAAACUGGCUCUGAAAUGUGACCGUAGAUCCGUUAGCAUAGGCGACGAAGCGCUUGUUCUAAUCUCCGAGCGUUGCCGGAAUUUGUCUCGCCUUAAGCUCCGAGCUUGCCGUGACUUGACCGAUGCAGGAAUGUUGGCGUUCGCUAAAAACUGCAAGGGUCUAAAGAAGCUCUCCUGUGGUUCUUGCGCUUUCGGAGCCAAAGGCAUGAACGCUGUGCUCGACAAUUGUCCAGCACUCGAGGAACUCUCCGUGAAACGACUUCGUGGCAUCACAGACGGCGCUGCAGCUGAGCCGAUUGGGCCUGGGGUGGCUGCGGCGGCGUUGAAAACAAUUUGCUUAAAGGAGCUUUAUAAUGGGCAAUGUUUUGGUCCGCUUAUUAUUGGUUCAAAGAAUCUGAAAUCUUUGAAACUUUUUAGAUGCUCUGGCGAUUGGGAUAAGCUUUUCCCACUCAUAGUGGAACGGGUCGCGGGUAUGGUAGAGAUCCAUAUGGAGCGGAUCCAAGUCAGCGAUGUCGGUCUUGCGGCUAUCUCCAACUGUUCAAACCUAGAAAUUCUUCACCUCGUUAAGACUCCCGAGUGUACAAACGCCGGACUCGGAGCUGUUGCAGAGAAAUGCAACUUGUUAAGGAAGCUUCACAUUGAUGGAUGGAAAGCAAAUCGAAUAGGUGACCAAGGGUUAAUUGCUGUUGCGAAAUCUUGCCCCAAUUUACAAGAAUUAGUUCUUAUUGGUGUUAAUCCCACCAAACUGAGUUUGGAAAUGUUAGCUUCUAAUUGUCCAAAUUUAGAACGGUUAGCCUUAUGCGGUAGCGAUACAGUUGGUGAUGCAGAGAUAUCUUGUAUUGCUGUGAAAUGUAUUGCUUUAAAGAAGCUUUGUAUCAAGAAUUGCCCUGUUUCGGAUCAUGGCAUGGAAGCCCUUGCUAGUGGUUGCCCUAAUUUGGUUAAAGUGAAAGUGAAGAAAUGUAGAGGAGUUACUUCAGAAGGGGCAGAUUGGUUAAGAGCAACUCGAGGAUCACUUGUCGUUAAUUUGGAUAUCAAUUUGGAUAUGGGCGAGCAUUUAGAUGCAAGUGCCAGUGAUGGUGGGGCACAAGAUAAUGGAAUUGAAUUUCCUCCAAUGGUGGGCAGUCAAAUUGGAGCUUCUAGUAUGGCAUCGAGCAGUACAGGUCGAUCGACAUCAUUCAAGUUGUUAGGGCUUAUGAGUGGGAGGAGUUUUGUGGCUUGCACAUUAAGGAGGUUGGCAAGUAGUUCUCGGAGUUAACUCGGAAUUGCAACAACAACAAAAAGAAAAAGAGUGACAAUAGAAAGCACUCUUGGUAUGAACUGUUUACAUUAUUUUUCUGUUGGUAGUUCUCCCUUGUUUGUGUAUUUAAUUCAAUUCUGUGUGCUGAUGAUUGCCUUUUGAAUUCAAUCUUCAUCUUCAACAUUUUAUAGUUCUCAAUUUGAUCUGUUGGUUUGUAGUUCCUUUAUUUAGCAAGCUCUGUCUAUGUCUUCAUUCUUCUCAAACAUAUUUGUCCUAUACUGGAAUUUAAAGAACAUCUUUCUGAUUAAUUAGUUAUAUCUCUUUAUUUGGUCCGUGUUACAAAAUACUUGCAUACCAACAUGCAUGUCCUCCAAAUGCAUACUUGUAUCCUAAAAUUCUUCUUAUUAGAUAGGAGGAGGUUUGUUUCUCCUGUUAUAUGCAAUUUAUAUAUAUAUAUAUAUAUAUCAAUUGAGUUUUAAAUAUCUUAAUUGUUUGUUGCUGCAUGUUUUAAACAUGAUCAAUAGUAGGGAUCAGGUGUUGGAACUGAGAACCCGGUUAGACUUUUUGAUUUGCAAUAUGCAUAUCCUUAAUGCAAAUCAAAGCCGGAUUCAAACGCCAACGUCUUGAUUCUUUGGAAAAAUGAUUCUUUAAUGUUAUUUUUGGUUUGAUGAGAAAAGAUCUGAUGAAUGCUACCGCUGUAUGAAAUUAGUAAGUUCUCUGAUUUUUUUCUCUGUGAAUUGCUGUUAAAAUUGCUUUGAUGUUACAUAAGCCAAUUUUUAUGAUGGUUUAUUAUGAUGCUUCUGGUUGAUCAUAUUUUGCAAUGACUUGUUGAUCUGCAAUAUUAAGUGGUUAGGAAUUGAGCAGUUUAUCAUCUUUAAAUGGUUUAAUUCAUGCACCUCAGAUACACUUGCACUUUCAGGAGAGAACAAUUUUUUAUUUAUUUAGUUUCUAUUACUGGGGACACAAUCACAAGUCUCAUGGUCGGAUUGCAUUUUGUCUUCUCUAUUGAAAAAAUGGGCUAAUUAGUUCCUAUAUCUUAAGAUCAAAGAGCGAAUGUCUUUUUUGUUAAAUGUUUCACCUAUUUGUACUAAAAAUUGACGUGGUUAACGAAAUAAUUAAAAUGUCAAAUCAUGACAUAAGAUCUGAUUUUUUUCUAAUAAAGGAAUCAUUUUACUUUUUGAUCUACCAUGGAUGGAUUAAUUUGUUUUUUUCUAAUAAAAGGGAUAAAAUAUAAUCUGAUUUUUAGGUUUAGUUUAGCAUUAUUUUUUAAAAGUGCUUUUGAGAAAAAAAUAUACUUUUGAGGAGAAGUUAAAAUUUUCAGUUUUUGAAAAAAAGUAUUUUUGAUUAAUUUAUAGCUUGAGAGAAAUACUUUUUCUCGAAAAAAAAGAAUAUUUUUAUCUCAAAAAAAGUGUGUGGGGGGUUUUCAUUAUACAUUUACUUAAGUUUCUGACCAUGCAUUGGCAAAUUCAGGGUUGAUCUUGUUGAAUUGUUGGUUUGUGGUAAUGCUUUUAUUCUUGUCAGCUUGCCUACCGCUGAAUAAUUCCAAAAUAUAGGUGGUUUGAAAAUGCAUAUUCCAACAAUGCAGAUUCAGGACAGUGAAUGAUUUUGAAUUGGAGGCGUCCUACCCCUGCUUUCUGCCUUGGUGCUCCAAGUCUCAUAUUGUAUUAAUUAUAUUCCCGCCUAAGAAAUACAAAAUUUGAAACUUCUCAGAAAUUAAUGACGUUGCUUUUGAAGCCAUCACAUUCGUAAAAUGAAUGUGAGUGCUAAUUUUUGUCACAUCUUGACAUUGUGAUAUAUUUUAAUGUUUAUAAUGAUAUAUAGUACAUAAACAUUGCAAUUUGAAUGAAUUGGAGAUUGCUUCCACAUCCACAAUCCAUGACCUAAUAAAGAUGCUUGCUUAUCCUGUUCUGUACCAACUAAGCAUGUUUUUUUUUCUUAAUUUGGGCCAAUUACUCCAUUUACUAUUUAAUAAUAAAAAUUAUUUAAUCUAUAUUACAUUCAAAAUCUUUGGCAAGUGAAUAGCAAUUCAGUAGAGGGGAAAAAGAACUAGAUUUUGGAAGUAACAAAUUUUAUUUACAUCUUUCAAUAAUUCUCUAUAGGAAAAUUAAAUAAUUUAAACUACAACUUUUUUUUUAUUUGAAUGAUAUAAAUAAAUAAUGCAAAUAUGCUAACACAUAAUAGGUGUUGAGUUCCUUAUGGUUGCUCAACAACUAUCACAAAACUUGUUGUGUAAAACAUUGUUAUGAACUUAACAUAUGUGGUUAUCAAGAUCAUGUUAUUUUAAAUUAUUCGAUCCAACUUGACACUUGACUUUUUAGGACUGUACUUUGUUAUUAUUGACAGAUUUGAUUUGAUAUAUUAGAAAUUCAACACCAUUAGGCCGUUUUGCAAUACAUCAAACUUGACAUCUACGAGUGUUAAGAUCAUGCUAUCUUAAGUUGUUCAAUCCCUUUCCCUUCUAAUAAAUUCUGCAAAACCAAUAACCAUUAUUCAUUCCAAAAUUCUUUCAAAAUCCUCUUUAACAUCUACAUACCCUAAACCAUUCGAAUUACUUUCAAAAUUCGCUACAAGUCAUUUAUCAUGUAAGUGUUUUUUCUCCAUAAUUNNNNNNNNNNNNNNNNNNNNNNNNNNNNNNNNNNNNNNNNNNNNNNNNNNNNNNNNNNNNNNNNNNNNNNNNNNNNNNNNNNNNNNNNNNNNNNNNNNNNGUGACAUUUAUUAGCAGAGAAGCCAUGAAACUUACAUUGACCAUAUAUUAGAAUUGGUACAUAUGUUCACACCAGCUUCAACAUUCAAGGCGCAUUUUGGGGACAAAACCAUGAGGUUAACAAUACCUUAUAAAACUAGUCUAUAUAAUGAAAUAGUGAGUGCCUGCGGGGUCACAUGUACUCAUAUUAUUCAUCAAAAACGAAAAGACAAAAAAGGAGGAAGAAAAGAAAAACCAAAAUGAUGCGCAAGCGCAAGUGGGAAAUGUUGUAGCUUCUCGUGGCGGCCGUUGAAAAGGCAGCAAGUGUCCCACCACUUGGAAGAAUGCAUGAAUAUGCAAUAUUAUUGCAUUUUAUCAACUGUCAUCAAUGGAACUUCUAUAACAACUUGGAGCUAAAAUGGGACCCUCAUCCCGUCUCCCAACUAAUUGUCUAGAGACAAAGAUCAAAUCCCAAAAUGGGCAAAUUGCAUAACUUUCUUCCUUGCCUCUUCCAUGCCUUGUUUUUGUUCACUCAAAAGUGUUUUAACCAUUGAUUUUUACCCUGAAAAAACAUUCAGCCAGGAGUAACUGCAUAUAUGUAUAUGUAUAUGCAUGUCUCGGAGAUGUCGGGGCAACGCAACAAGACACAAUCAGACAAGUCAUGGAUGGUUGUCUUAAAAGAUCUUUUUCAUCUAUAUUAAUACAUACAUACAUACAUACAUACAUACAUACAUACAUACAUACAUACAUACAUACAUACAUACAUACAUACAUACAUCAGUGUCAAAACUAAGUCCUGUUUUGGGCUGAAAGACAGUGGCAUUUGUCCGUGCCUGUCUUGAACUUACCGUCAUACAAACUUAGCAUCUUACCGUCAAAUAUAGUAUGUAUUUUAUCUCUCAGAGAUUAUUAUGCUCCAAAAUUCCUCUUGUAAUUGAUCUGCAUCACCAACCAAAACUACAAAAAAGGUUUUUUACACCGGCAUGCACAACAUAUUACGACUAUUUUUUUUCAAAAUCCCUUAAUUCCUCCAAUAAAUUUAGUAAAACUAUAUAUAUAUAUAUAUAUAUAUAUAUAUAUAUAUAUAUAUAUAUAUAUUGCUAUAAGUUAUGUGAUUGUUUUUGCUUGCUAUUGUAGUAAGUUACUGUUAAUUUUAUUGGAUUAUUUGUUAUCAAGAAUUGUUGAAGUUGUUAGCCUUAGUUGUAAUGUGCAAAAUUUAAUAUUUGACAACCUCAAAGAAAAAGAUGGUAGAUUAACUCAUGGCCCAAAUCCAUUUGAAGGGAUUUAUUAUUUUCACUGAGGAAAGAGUUGUAUUUCAAUAUGAAGCUUGACAUUUAGGAAUGAUGUUACCUUAGAGUACAUGAAAUGGAGGAUUCUUAGGAAAAUUCAAGCAAGAGGUACUAAGUGGAUAUCCAAUAUGAAAUAUAAAUUCAUGAGGUCUAGUAGAAUGGCUGUAAGUGUUAUGACACCAUAAAAGUGAUAAUGUUGCCAUGGAGCUAUUAGUGGAGUUUUAAUAUGUUUUUGAUACUAGUUAUGACAUUUUGAAUUAUGCAAGCUCAUUGACUAUCCUGGUGCCGACAUAUUAUUUGAAGAUUCUAUCAAUGUCAGAUACUACCGGUAUCUUUCCUGAGUACUAUACCCAAGAGUCUAUGGUGCCAUAUAUUCGUGAGUUGCAUGAAUAAAUGAUGGUUGUUUCAUUGUUGGGAGGAUUUGAAUUGGUCAAAGCAAAUUAUCUACAUCUUCUGGUAGGUGACAAUCUCGAAUAAUUUGAGUAAAAAAUGAUGCACAACUAUCUUUGUUUAAGGCAUUUCGGAAAUCAAAGCAUCAUGAUAACGAUGUUGGUGAGCUCACUUGUAAUAGCCUGAUUUUCAGUGGUGCUGAAAAAAGUGAUUUCAGAACCUUAUUUUCGUAAACCAAGUCCGUAAAUAUUAAAUAUAAAUAUUUAUGGAGUUGGUAUAUUAGUAUAUUAAAGUUUGGUUUGGCAAUUUUGUUAAAUUCAUUGUUAAUUUAGGUGCAAUGACUAAAUUGUAAAAGUUCAAUCGUUAUAGGUUUUUAAUUGACUAAAGGCUUAAGGACUUAAAUUACAAUUAGCCAAAGGUCCAAAAUGAUAAUUAAACCAUUUUUCAUUAUGAAUUGGUGGAUGAUGAUGAGAGAUUCCAUUUUUUAAUUAGUGGUUGAUUAAGUUAGUUAAAACAUAAUUAGCUUAAUUAAAUUAAGUUAAUUAACUUUUAAACAUGGUAUAAAAGAAAAAAGUGGAGUUUUGUCUUCACUUCCAUCUUCCUCACUGCUCGUAGUAGAAAAACCUAAAGAAAAACCAUUUUUGAAGCUCAAGCUAUUUGAUCCCUAAUUGACAAGAAUUGGAUCAAACCAGAGAUAAUUGAGGAAAAGCUAAAAUUGUCGAUUAGUCCUUGAAGAUUCAACUUGUUUGGUGUUUUGACCAGGUACGGAACUUACUAUUCUAUUUUAAUUAUGUAUGAAUUAUACUUGAAUUAAUAUUUAUAUAUAAUUGUUAGAAUUGAGUAGAAUUAGAGAAUUGGCACAAAUGUCUUGUAUUAGACUGAAUUGUAAAUUCGUAUAAGUAUUGGUUGUAUGAAAAUAAUACAAGGUGUUAAUAUGAUCAUUGAUUGGUUAUAUGCCUCGUAAAUGAAAAAUGAAAUAUGUACAUGAUUUGAUAUUGACAUUUAUACGGAAGUAAUGCCCAAGUAAACUUAGUAAAAGGUUAAGAUACAUAUGACAUGCCAUUAGAGUUAUACACGUAUUUGAUUAGGUAUUUACAUGUUAUUACGAGAUCUAGCAUUUGUUACAAAUACCCAAGUUAAAUGUAUCAUAGGUUUAACUGGAUGGGUAACCUUGAUAUAAUGUCAGCUUAUGUGAGCAAUACAUUCUCAUGUAUUCAAGUUCGUUUUACUAUAGUUCCAUCGGGUGAUGAUCAAUUAACUAGAAAUGGAAUUUAAAUCAUGAAAUGAUAUUGAUGAUACUUGACAUAUAGGUUGUUAUAUGAUUCUAUUUUUAAUGUUUUUAAUGUUAACAAUACUUAAGAUAUAUGUAUUAAUGUGCCAAGAAAAGUUAAAUUGGUUUCCAAAUAGAAUAAAUUAAUUAUGUUGUAUGACCAAUGUAUGCUUUAGUUUCAAUUUGAACUUACUAAAAAUUUUAUAUGCUUACCUCGUUUGUUUUCCCUUUUUCCUUGUAAAUAGUCACCUUGCGAAACGCAUCAAGUUGGAUUGUCUCAAAACUCACACUAUCUCCAAUUCAGUAGCUAUUUGAUCAUUUUGAGUCAAGGGUUGUGGCAUGUAUAUAAGGUGUCUUAUGGUGCAUCUUAGUAUGUAAAUGUAUUUACUUAUAGCAAGUUUCUUUUUUAAUCUUUACUUAUCAUGUUGAUUUGGUGAUUCAAAUAAUACAUGUUGUUGGGCAUAUAUGUAUGUUUAUGCUAAAGAAUGUGAUGAACUAUAUUCAUAGAUUUGGCAUGUGAAAUGGCAUAGAAUGAAGUUGAGAUGGUAUGUUUGAUUGGUAAGCUUGAAAUAUGUAUUAGUGAAUAGAUGAUUUGGUUUAUGUUAAGGCAUAUAAGCUAUUAAAGUGCAAAGUGAAUAUAUGUGUAUGAAAUUAAGGUGAUAUAGCAUGUUUCAAAAUGAAACGACAUUAGUAAGGUUUGAUCAUUACAUGACUUGGUUGUUAGGAUAUAAUAGUAGUAAGAUGUUUUGAAUAGGUGUGGAUUGUUUGAUAAGAAGUUGAAAUUGUAUGUUUGAACUCAUAUGGUAUGUUUUCAUAGAUUUUGAGACAAUUUGGAGUGAAAUAUAGGUUCAUCUUUUGAAUGGUUUGGUUGGAAACUUUGAAAUAUGAACCAAAUGGUUCAUUUUUACCAAAAACAGGGUCCUUGUCUCGACGACCAUCUUUCCUCGUCGCAACAUCGGUCAACAGUAUGUGACGUCGCAGUGUCGAGUGGCUUGAGUUCGUGACAUGAAAAAUUGUUUGACAAUGUCACAAUGUGGAAAGGAUGAUGUCACGACAUCAAAGCUGAACUUUUAAAAACUUUGCAAUUUGGUCCUAUUUUGAGUUCGGGUUUACAAAAGAACUUUCAUAAGCUCGAUUAAGACUCGAAAUUGAUUGUUUAAUAUGAUUUGAAUGUGAUUAACACUUAAAUUGCAUGUGUGAAUGAUUAAUUACUGCAUGUUUGUCUAUAGUUCGGACCUGGUGAUUAGGUCAGGCGAGGGGUGUUAUAUCACUAAAGUUGAAGCUGAAACCUAGGUUGAAGCCAAAUUCGAUAUUGAAGUUGAAUGUGGCAGUGAUCUUGAGCUGAAAGUGUUAAGAUUUGUUCCCACAGUGCAAUGAUUGGUCACAACUACUUGUAAGUUUUGUAGAAAAAUGAUUGAAUAAAUAAAAUUACCACAUGUUCAUUUAGUUGAUCUUUAUAUGUUUUUACUCAAUGGUUUUUGCAUGAAAAACAAAAUGUUUAACAAACUUCUUAAUUACCUAAGGUUUAAAUACUAUUAAGUUGCAUUAUAUGGAUGGAUUAUACUGCAACAAACUUAUACUAGUAGGUAAUUUAAAUUAUUUGUAGUACAUAGAAUUAGAUUGAGCAAAUGAUUCAAAUAAUAAGAGACUAUUAUGUUUUCUAUAAUUCUAAUUGGAGAGAUAGCUUGCCUUGGCUAUCAAAGCAAAUUUGACUCCAAGAAAUAGACAUAGAUGUGAUUGUCUGGACUAACAAUACAUUAGAUUGGAUCCAAGUUGAAUUGAUCCUAAGUUCAUUUAUAGAUUCAUUCACUGGUGACAUUCAUAGCAUGACUUACCUUAAUAUUGAGUAAGUGAAUAAUCAUGCAUACAUGACUCAUGUACUUUAUAUAUUGAAAGCAUGUGCUUUCAUAGUAGCGGGUUGAACUAUGUUUGGUACAUGAGUUAUGCAUGGCAUGACUUUACCCACAAUAGUGGAGGUAUAGCUUGAAUGAAAGAGUAAAUGACAUGCUCUCAUUGGCACUGUAUGGAUUUUGAAAAUGGAACGUGGACAUGAGUCAUUUGUCUGGACGAAUGACUAAUCAUUACUAUUUGUAAAUAAUGAUCAUUUUCAUUGUGGAAGAUACAAUGUUGACCAUAAAAUAAAAAUAGAUUGAAUUAGGUGAAUGAAUUUAACCUAAAGGGGUCAAAGAUUUCCUAUCAGGGUAACAUACAUAUGACAAAGUCAUUGGACAAAAUCUUAACUUAAAUAGCUUUCAUAAUGGUAUAUAAUGGAGAGAUUAUUGAUGGUACUUUUAGUAGAUUGAAGUUGUGACUAAAUAACUAUGUAAUUAAUAGACGAAGAAUCGAAACUUAAUUACAAAUUAUCUAAGGCCUAAUUAUAUAUGUCCAAUCGAUCCAUCCUGUAACAAUCCAAAAUUUUGGUAUGUCAUCUGGCAUUGUUUCAAAAUCAGAUACAGUGAAAAUUCCAAGGAUAUUGGAAAAUGAUUUAGGUAAAGAAAGUUCAUGAGAGGAAAUUGAUAUUUGAGAUGGAAGUCAUGAAAAAUAUUGAGGAUGUGGAAAUGUCGCAAAAAAAGACCAAAUUGUAAAUUUUAAAAAGUUGGAGGACUAAAGUGAAAUUUGACCAAAAAGAGAUAGAGAUUAUUAUUGACUAUUGUAGCAUGAGAAUAAAUUAGAAUAUGUAUUGGUGUGAGGAAAAUCAUUUUUGAGACUAAAUUGGAAAGACUGGAAAGUACAAAUAUUAAAUUAUAAUUUUUUUUUAUCGAGAGAAGGGUGAAAGUGUAAUUUUCACCAUCCAAUGAUUUUUAUUAAGAUUUUAAUUCUGAAAUAUGAGAUUUCAAUAUUUUACAUGUCUAUUUGUUGAGAAGAAAUUGUACUAAGAGGCAAGAAGGGAGAUAAUGAUAAUUUUACCAUGUAAGAGCAUUUUGAUCAUUUCUCAAGAAUUUUAUAUUGGAAGUAUUAUUUUGGCAUGAUGUUAUUAUAUUGUGAUCUAAUGUUAGCCAUUGGAUGUGAAUGGAAGGGAGACAACAUGUUAAUAUAUUUUGACAUAAUGUCAUUAUAUUUUAUACAAAUGAUUGGGUUAGUGAGAACAUUAAAAAAUACUCACAAUAUUAAGUUUGAUAAUUUGAAUUGGAUCACACUCUUUUGUAUUCUUUGCUGGAAAAUAUGGAAGCAAAGAAAUUUGCUUGUGUUUAGGAGAGACAGAACAUUGUGGUUCUUAUAACACUCUUGCGCAAGGCGUUGCUAGUUUAGGCAAAGUCAGUGUUCAACAGUCGUGUUACGAGUAGCCAACAGGCUAUUAAAACUGAAAAGCUUGUUGGAUGGUCAGCUCAUGCAUUUGGUUGGGUUAAAUUGAAUACAAAUGAAGCAUAGCUUCAACAAGGGGGUAGUGACUGAGAGACUCCUCAGGUCGAUGGCUAAAGGGAUACAAUCCGAACACUGGUUCUUGUUCAGUUUAUCAGAGAUGGGUUUUUAACUGGAAAUCCAUAUGCCGAAUGAGAAGAAUGCUCCGGUUAGGAGUAUUAACAAACUCUGCAUUUAACCAUCUGUAAUAUAAAUGUUCUUAGACCUUAUUUAAUAACUGUUGCACUUACUUUAAUUAAUUAAUUUAAUCUUUUAUGCCAAACAUAAUCCAUAAUUUUUUUUAUCUCUUCUUUACCUAAAUGAAGAACAAGCAGUUAAUUUAAAUAAUUGCACGGAUUUUUUUUCUUUUUUUUUUAACUUAACAUGAAAGAUUCGAGAUUAUAUAAUUAAAAGAAUUUUAAGUUCUGUAGACAAUUACUAAAUAUGAGUUAUUUGAGUUGAUUUCGUUAUUUAUAAUCUAGAAACAUAAAAUUUAAUUUUAAAAUUUAGAAGGAAAUUUAAUUAAUUUAAAUAUUGUAGUAACAAAUCGGUUGACAAUAUCAAGAGAUAAUUUUUUUUGAAUAAAUUAUUUAAUUAAUUUUGAUGUUUUGAUUUUUAAAAAUUCAAUACUUAAAAAGGAAAUUUAAAAUUUCGGAAAUAAAUUUAAAAAGUAUAAUUUGACAAUUUUUUAAUGUAUUAUUUUAGUUUCUUCUGAUUUUUCACUUACCUUAAUUUUUUAACCCUGAUUAAUAUGUUAAGAAAAGAAUGUUUUUUGGGUGACCAAAGUGAAACAAACUUAGAAGUUGGGUGACCAAAAUGAAAGUGUGAGCAUGAUGUGGCAUGCACUAUCCACGAGUGUUAGAGAUUUAAUGCUUGAGUGACUAAAAUGAAAACACACUAAAAAUUAGGUGACCAAUUAGAGAAUUUGCCCUAUUUAUUUUAGUAAAGUUACUUAUCAUCUAUCUCUAUAUAUAGAAGUAUUAUAAUCACUUUUAUCUAUUCUAGAGAUAAGAAAAUUUUAAUGUUUUUAUUAGAUUUUAUUUUAUUAUAUUUUCAUCCAUUCAUAUGUAAAGAUUUGUUUUUUUUUUUUAUAUCAACUUAAUAUAUAUUCAUGAUUUUAAAUUCAUACUAAAAUAAGUUUUACAAUAUACACAUUAAAUAAAAUUUUAAUUUAAAAGUAAAUUAUUUUUUAAAACCUUAUUGAUCACAUAUAAAUAUUUUUUUAAGUAAAUGUAUUCUUUUAUUCUUUCAAUUAAUAGUAUAUAUAUUUCUUUUUUAUUCUUUUUAAUUUCACAUUUUUUAUUUAUUCUUUUUUGUAUUUUCAUCUAUAUGAUUUUAUAUCAAUAUAUACAUGUGUGUGCAAAAAAUUAUUUUGAUUAAAAAAGUUAAUUUUCAAGCAUUUUAUGAUUGCUUAACAUAGAAUUUUUUUCAUUUAUUUAUUUAAAUUAAAUUUAGUAAAUAAUUUUAAAGUUUAUUAAGAUAGUAUUUUAGGAUAAUAUAUCUUAGUUUAUUUUUUUCCAUUUUUAUUUAUUAAUAGUUUUAAUAAAACAUAUGUUUCAUUUUUAUAAUUUUAUAAUUUUAUAAGUUUCAAAAGAUAAUGAUUUUCAUUUAUUUAUACUAAAUUUAUUAUUUAUUAAGUUUUUAUUUUAAAUAGAUCUUAAACUUGAAUUAUUUUAAACAUUAAAAAAACUAAUUACCAUUGAAGAGGUAAAAAAUUAAAAUUAUAAAUAUGAGAUUAGUGUUUUACUUUAUGACAAUGAAAAUGAUUUUGCUAAUAGAUAAUUUUUUUUAUUAAUAUAUACAUAUAUCUAAUGAAUUUUUUUAAUAAUUUGUCUUUUACACUUUGAAUAUUUUUACAACACACCUUUUAAAAUAUAAUUUUCUAAUUAUUAUUUAAAAUUUAAAUUAAUUCUAAUUACUUGAAAUUUAAAUUUACUUUUAUUAUUACAUUAAAUUUCUUUUAAAUUAUUUAUAACUCAUUCAUAAUCAUACCUAUUUCUUAUAUUUUGAUUAAACAAUAAUUUAUUAUAAAAUUUUCUAAAAUUAAAUAAUAAUUUUGUAUUUAUUUUCAUUUUUAUCAUUAUUUAUAUUUAUAUUUAUUUUAAUAUUAAGUCACAUUUUAAAUAUUAUUUUAUAAUAAAAUUAAAUUUAUUAAUAUUAAUAAUGUAUUUUUGUUAUACUAAAAAUUUUUAGUUAAAAUUUUAGAAUAUAAGAUAAUAUUUUAAUUUUAGUUUUAUUUUAAAUAAUUUUUUAUUAUAAUUUUAAUAAGAUAAAAAUUCUUCAUAGAAAUAUAUUAAAUAAACAACUAACACAUGCAUCAUGGAUAACAAACUAGUUAGAAUAUAAUUUAAUUAAAUUUUAAUUUGGUAAAAAUGAAGAAUUAUUUUAAAACUGUUAUGAUUAUUAAGUGGAUGUCCAUCAAGAUUAAUAUAAAUUUUGAUGUAUUUUAAAUUCUAAUAGUCAUUAAAGUUAGAUCUCUACUUCAUUUAUACUUCUUAUACCUAUAAAUAGAGACUUUGGAAGAGCUUUGUAAAUAUUUUGAUUGAUUAAUAAAAUACACUCUCUCUCUGCUCUCCCAUUCUCUUUGUUCUUUAUUUUCUAUCUUUUUAUUUUAUAACAAGUUAUCAGCACGAUCUUACUCAAAGUGAUAAAACCUUUUAUCGGCGAUCAAAUUUAUUCUCCAUGAUUUUGUAACAUCCCGAUUUUGGGCCUAGUCGAAACAGUGGUUUCGAGACCACAAAUUCGAUGAGGAAAAAUUUAUUUUUCAUAUAUUUUUAUGGUCUACGAUUUCACAAAAUGAUUUUGUGAAAAUUUUGUUUGAAAAUUUCGACGUUUGGGCACUCAAUUUAGUCAAAAGGACUAAAUUGUAAAAAGUGCAAAAGUUGAGUUCUACAUGUUAGAGGUGCCCAAUUGUUAUGAAAUUUUUAAUUGGAGGUCCUUAUAUGGUAAUUAGACCAUUGGUUAAGUUGGUAGACAAAAAUGGACAUGGUUAGGCAUGUUUCCAAAGUUUUUCAUUAAGGGCAUUUUGGUCAUUUAGUUAUUAAAAUGAAUUAAAAAAAUUAAAAGCCAAUUUUUGUCCAUCUUCAACCCCAUGGCCGAAUUUCACAAGGGGAAACCAUGGCUAGGGUUUUUCAAGCUUCCAAGCUCGAUUGUAAGUCUAUUCUAGCCCCAUUUUUAAUGUUCUUUACGUUUUUGGAGUCUCGGUAACUUGAUUUAGCUUAUUCUAGUAAUAAUUUAACCUAGGGUUCAUAUUUGGAAAAAUACCCAUAGGUGAAAUGUGUUUAUUUUGAUGUUUUAUGGUAGAAUAUGAAGCUUGAAAUUAUGUUAAACAACUUUUGUUAAGUGAUUUUAAGUGAAAACGAAUAAAACGACAUAAUCAGUAAAAAUACCUAAUGUUCAUAAGUAAGUGUUAGAGUGGGAAUUUGAUGUUACCAUAGAAGGGAAAAAUGUUCAGCAUGUCAUAAAAAAUAAGAAUAAGGGAUGAAAUUUAAUUUCCGAGCUUUGGGACAAGAUUGUAAAUAUGCAAAAGUUUAGGGGUAAAAACAUAAUUUUGUCAAAGUUCGAGUUAAGGACUAUUUUGAUGAAUGUGAGUAUUAAAUAAGCAGAAUUUUCUAUUAUAGAUCAAGAAGAAUAAAAUUCGGAGUUAGACCGGGGAAAGAAAAAGGUUGAGGACUGAAGUGCUAGAUUUGAUCAUAUUUUGUACCGAGGUAAGUUUACGGUAAAUAAAUGUAAUAUUUUGAUAAUUAUUAUUAAUGCUGUUAUUUUUCAUAAAUUAUGUAUUUAUUUCAUGAAAAUAUCUAAUGUUAACUUAAGUAUGAGAUGACAGAGAAUCAGUGUUAAAAGGCCCCAUUGAAACAUGAGGAAUGUAUUGGAUACAAAUGUCAUGACAUUUGGGUAAAGAGAUCCCAUGUAAGACCUGGGAUAUGGCAUUGGCAUCAUUGAGAUUAUGAGAGGUCCCAUGUAAGACCAUGUUUGGGACAUGGCGUCGGCACCGAGAUGAGAGGUCCCAUGUAAGACCAUGUUUGGGACAUGGCGUUGGCACCAAGAUGAGAGGUCCCCCGUAAGACCAUGUCUGGGACAUGGCAUGGGCACCUAUAUGAGAACUCUCAUGUAAGACCAUAUCUGGGAUAUGGCAUUGGCAGUACAAGAAACAUCCGAUGUAAGACUAUGUCUGGGACAUAGCUUUGGCAUGUUAUAUUCAGACAGGAGACUGAGUAUCCUUAGUAUUCUAAGUGAUUCAACGGGCUAAUAAAUAGACGAUGUUACAUGAAAGUUCAGGUAAAAGCCUAAUAGACAAGUUUAGGUGAGUUAAUAAGAUUAAGAGUAUCUCAGUUAUCAGUUGAGAAAAGAAAUUUCAGCAACGAAGGAGUAAGUUAAGCAAGCAAGUAAGUAAACGAGUAAGAGAGUAAGUAAAGAUCUUAAUGCUUAAAAAAAUUUAUGAAUAUAAUUGUUUAUGAUAAAUGUUGUUAUUUAUUUACUUGUAAACUUACUAAGCUUUAUGCUUAUUUCUUUUAUUUCUUUUUCUUUCAUAUAAUAUUAUCAAGCAUAGUCGGGAUCUUGAAGACGUCGGAGAGCGUUCACACUAUCAACCACCACAACUCGGUAUUUUAAGACGACCAAUGUUUUGAGCUAUGGCAUGUAUAGGGACUUGGUCAUUUCGAUUGUAUAUUCUUAAGAUAUGACCAAAAAAUGAUAUGUAAAUAUUUGAUGAUGAAUAGUUACUAAAAUGACUAUGUAUGAAGGUGUUUGUUGUUAUAAAUGUCUAGGUGAUAAAUUAUGCAUAGAAAUCAUGAAAAAGUAAAAAUUGGUAGUGAAUCAGUUUUGAGACACCAGUAAUGAUGUGAAUUUGAAAAAUCACCAAGGAUAGUAGAAAAUGAAUUAGAGGGUGGAUGAGAUAUAAAUUAAAUCUUAUUGAGUCUAUUUUCAUAGAAAAAUAAUGGUGUAGACAAAGGAAUUAUGUAUUCUGAGAUAUUUGCAUUUUAGUUAGACAAGGUCAAAGUGGUUUUCGAAAUCCCCUAUUCUAACUUUGGAAAAUAAUUAAAAAUUGUACAAAAAUAUUUAUGAGUUUUAAUUUAUAUUUCUAGAUUCCUUAUUGAGUCUAUUUUCUGUAGAAACAAGUGAGAACACCAUAUGAAGUCUGUACAAUGAGAUAGUUGAAUUUUAGUGACGAGAGAUCAGGACAGUCGAUAAGUGAAACAAGGGAGACUUUAACUAAUAAAUUGUACUAAUUUGUUGAACCAAAAAUUCUAAAAAAAUUUAUGGUAAAAAGAUAUAUGAGUCUAGUUUCAGGAAAAAUUUACGGAUCUAAAUUUCGAGUUUCGUAGCUCGAGUUAUAAUUGAUUUAGUGACUGCUGCGCAGGUGGACAGCCUUAUUAUGAACAGUGAAAUAGCUUUUAAAAGUAAAUUUUUAUGCCCCGAACUUUUAACUUAAGUCAAGUAAUGCCUCAUGCUCGACUCCGGCAACGGUCUCGGGUAAGGGGUGUUACAGUUUUCCAAGAUCUUAGAAGGCAAGAUGCAAAGAUUUUGCAGGAAGUUUCUUUUAUUUAAUGUUUUAUAUUUGAUUAUUUUUAGAUAAUUCAUGAUCAAUUAUAAUUAUUUUGAUUAACUUUUUUUAUUAUUAUGUUAUUAAGGAUGGUGAAUGAUUUGAUAUCGCUAUCUAUAUGAAAUUGUGAUUGGAUUCAAAGUCUACUAUUGGAGUUUAAAUUUGAUUACUUCUUGAUAAAAUCAUUAAGAAUUCGUUGAACAAGAAAGGUACAUCAACGUAAUUACAUCUCUAUAUUUACACUUUUUCUCAAUAAUAGCAUCUUUAGAUAUUAAAUUAAUUUGAUAUAUGGUUUAAAUAUUUGAGAUGAUUUUAUUUUAAGGUUUGGUUCCAUGGGUUACUUAUGGUUUCAAACAUCUUAUUUAUUAAUGAAAAUGAAUAUUGUUUGACUUCUUUAUGUUGUUAUAGUAGGUUUUAUAAUUAAAUAAUGUAUUUGGCUAAAAACAUAUUAGUAUGUAAAUUUGUGUUGAUAAACCUAUGAAAUUUAUAAUUGUUCAGUUUUGAUUUAGUUUGAAUAUAAAUUAUGUUCCAUUAAUGUCUCUUAUUAUUUUGGUUAUACGGUUUGAAAUUUUUCAAUACUCAUACAUGCAUAGUUCUAAACACAAUUUUUUGAGGAAUGUUUAAAUUGAUUUUUGGGUUGGUUCUAAUAUUGAGUUUCAAGUUUAAUUGUUUUCAUUUUUAAUUCUUAAAUUAUUUUAGUUGAAAAUAUUUUCAUAAACUUAAAAAUAAGAAUUACUAUAUUAAUUUGACCGUUUUCAUUUCUAUGAAUCUCGUUUGUAUUAACCAAUUUUUGUUUGAUAAGAAGCAUUAAAACAACUCAUGUGGUUUGAUUUUUAUAAAUACCUUAUAUGUUCUUACUAUACAACCUAGAGAAACUUGUUACUUUCGUAAAGUUGUUAAAGGUGGUUCAUACUCUUUAUAUUUGUUAACUAUUUAGAGAAAUUAUAUGAACAAUUAUAAAUGGAAAAGUUUUAGUGAGCAUGAGAUGUAUGAUUUUGAAGUAAAUUUCAUACAUGUCUGCAAUGGUUUAUGAAUUUUUUGUUGGCACUAGCAUUAUAUCAAGUUUGAUAUUUUAAAUUUCAGUUUUAUCCGUACAUUUGAUUUGCAAUAAACUCCAUGUAUGACUUGGUUAUUUCUUUCUAGUUAAUUGAUGGUGAAAAACUCUUAUGAAAAGGGCUUAGAGGUAUUUUCGAUUGAUCUAAUGCCUUCUUGAAGCUAAACAAAAUAAUGAAUUAUUUGUUCCACUGAUUCUGCUUCAUUUCUUGAAGUGAAUGUAGCAAUAUAUAACAAUUAUAAAAUGGAACCUUUUGUCAUUAUUGACAAAUAGAUGAAAAGAAGAUGGAUAAUUCGAAAUGUUGCUAAUUGUUCAUUCUUAGGACAUAAUGACCAAUGAUUCAUACUAAUUAAUCAUUCCUUGAAGCGAAUGAUAUCUAUAUAAUCUUAUUGGUAAGGAAUAUGAUAUAUGCUUACAUUAUUGUUCAAUUUUUUUUUUGUACAUUCCUUGAAGUGAAUGUUUGCAAUAAAUAUAACAAAUUGUAUAAUCACUUUUGAUUAUUAAUGUCAAUUUGAACAUUUGAAGAUCUUGACAUAUUCCUUGAAGUGAAUAUUGCAAAUAAUUGUUUGCAAAUUAUAUUUCUUUUAUUGAGUUAAUAACAUUAUGGACUUCACAUUGAUGUAGACAUUUCCAGAAGUAAAUGUCAGAAUAGUACUUAUAUGUAGAUACAAAGUAAAAGGAAUGACAGUAAAAUUAUCAAUUUGUCACAAUUUAUAUUGACAUUAAUAGUACAAUUGAAACACAUGUUAAAGUAAACCAGAAUUUUACUGAUAUAAAUGCAUUUACUACUUGGCGUGAUCAGUUAGAACAUCAUGGAUCAUAUAUGAUGCGGAAAUUAAUUAAGAAUUCAUAUAGGCAUUCAUUAAAGAACUCUCAUUUGUUGCUUGUUCUCAAUGAAAACUGAUUGUUAGAAACUCACUAGCUAAAGUUGAGAUUUAAUUUCUUGUAUUUCCGAAAUGAAUAUGGGUCCAUUCAUCCACCAUGUGGAUUUUGAAAUUAUAUGAUUUAGGCAGAUGCAUCUACAAAAUAAUCACAUGCGUUAUCAACUCGCAACCUGUCGUUUGUGAGAUUUCUUGUUUAAAUGAUUAAUUUUAUAUUAUGCAAUUAAAACAAUUCAUCUUGCUAAUGUUGGUGAGUUUAUAUCCCAAGCUUUCAAUAAUUAUUGUAUGUCAAUCGGGAUAAAAGUUGAACAUUCCUGUAGCUUAUGUUCACACAUAAAACGAUUUAGCUGAAUCGUUUAUCAAAUGUCUCCAACUAAUAACUAAAUCAUUACUUAUGAGAACAAAACUUCCUAUUUCAGCAUGAGAUUGUAUUGAUUUACAUGUUGUACGCAUCAAGCCAAUAAAUUAUAAAUACUUCCCAUUACAAUUGAUUUUUGGUCAAGAGCCAAAUAUUUCCUAUAUUACAAUUUUUGGAUGUGUGAUAUAUGUUCCAACUGCUCCACCAUGACGCACAAAGAUGGGUCAUCAUAAGAGAUUGGGAAUGUAUAUUUUAUAUGAGUCUCCUUAUAUUAUUAAAUAUUUUUGAGCUACUAAUUUGAGAUUUAGUUAUGACACGAGUUGUUAGUUUUCCUAACAUUAGGGGGAGAGAAUAAAAAGUUGGAUUAAUAAAGUACUUGAAAUGAAAUAUCAAAGUCUAAGAUCCUCGUACAAAGCAAUGUGAACCAAAAGUUCAACAGAUAAUUAAUUUUACAAAUCAACUGUCAGAUUCAUUAAAUCUCACAUACCAACUAAAAAUGCUCCAAUACGAAUUGAUGUCCUAAUAGGGCAAACUGUUAGUGCAAAAGAAAGUAAUCCACACCUGAAGCGUGGAAGACCGGUCGGUUCCAAAGAUAAAAAUCCUCGUAAAAGAAAAGAAGCAAACAUUCAAGAUAGUCAUGUAGUGGAGACAGGGGUUCCUGAAGAGACCCAUGACAUAACUAAUUAUAAAACUCAAGAAGAGAUUUAGAUACCUAAAAGUGAAAAUGAAAAUGAUGAAAAUAAAGAGAUAUCGAUAAGUUAUGUUAAUACGAGAAAAAGAUGGAAUCGAAAAAAAUGUAGUUGUCGACAACAAUUUUGCUUAUAAUGUUGUCAUUGAAAUAACAAAAGGAAAUGAUGAUCCUAAGCCUAAAUUAUUGAGGAAUAUAAAAAUCGAAAAGAAUAGCCAAAAUGGAACGACGUAAUUCGAGCAAAAUUGAAUUCACUUUCAAAACGCGAGGUUUUUGGACAUGUAUCCCAAACACCUAAAGAUGUAAAGUCGGUAGGAUAUAAAUGGGUAUUUGUGUGAAAACGAAAUGAAAUUGUGAAUUCGUAAUAUAUAAAGCUUGACUUGUAGCAUAAGGAUUUUCAUAAAGGCUCGACAUUUAUUACAAAGCGACAUAUUCUUCUGUGGUAGAUGCAAUCACGUUUAGAUGCCUUAUUAGCUUGGCAGUACGUGAAAAACCGUACAUGCAUCUAAUGGAUAUUGUUACAUACUAUUUGUAUGGUAGACUUGAUAGUGAAAUUUAAAUGAAAAUCUUAUAAGGAUAUAGAGUUUCUUGGGAAAAUUGCUCGAUCAGACUAAAGAAAAGUUUAUAUGGAUUAAAAUAAUAUGGGCGUAUGUGGUACAAUCGUCUUAGUGAAUAUUUGUUGAAAGAAUGAUAUAAAAAUGAUCCAAUUUGUCCAUGUGUUUGUAUAAAAAGGUUUGGAUCGGAUUUUGUGAUAAUUAUUGUUUAUGUUGAUGAUCUCAAUAUUAUUGAAAUUCCUAAAGAGCUUCAAAAUGCAGUAAAUUAUUUAAAUAAAGAAUUUGAGAUGAAAGAUUUUGGAAAAAUAAUGUUUUGUCUUGGCCUGUAAAUUGAACAUUUAAAAUAUGGAAUUCAUGUCCAUCAGUCAAUUUAUACGGAAAAGAUCUUAAAGAAGUUUUACAUGGAUAAAGCAUGUAACGUCCCCACUUUAAAAAAAAAAAGAAGAAUAUUUAUGGUAGAAGUUCUUGAAUAAGUAGAAUUUCUUGAAUAAAUGAUCUAUAAAUAAAUAGUAGUAUAAAAAAAUUGUGAUCGUUUUUAGAGGAAACUGUCAGACAUGAAAACACAGAGGAUUAUUAGUAGGAGUAUGUGGUUAAUUUAAAAAUUCGGUAUCGAGUUCAGGGAUUAAAUUGAAUAAAUUAGAAAAGUAUAGAGACUAAAGUGCAAUUAUCUUAUUUUAUUUUUAUGGAAAGGACUUAAUGGUAAUUUUUCCAUUACUUAAAAAAUAAAAAAUCUCAUGAUGACUUUAAAUGAUAUUUUCAUUAAAUAAUUAUUAUUUAACAUUUUAUUUAAAAUAAUAGUAAUUUAUUAAAUAUUAUAAUAUAUAUAUAUAUAUAUAAAGAGAGAAAGAUUAGUUUCUUUCUCAUCUUUCUCACGGAAGGUUGGGAAAAACAAAACAAAACUUCUUCCAUUAUUUUCCUUCAAAUUCAAGUAUAAGGUAUGGUUUUCUUCAAAUUUUUGUUAGAUUUUGAAUUUUUAAAGCUUGCUUUACAUAUAUAUACCAAUAGUUUUUUUUAUCAAGUAUUUUGAAAGUUGUCAUUAAAGGACAUUGAUGGAACCUUAAAAAACUUAAGUGAAAUAGAUAUAUUUUUGGAUAGGAAAUAAUUAGAAGAUGAGUUCUAGCUUGUUAGAAGUGUGAAAAAGAAACAAAAAUGGAUGAAAAGUUUAUUUAGUAUAUUUGGCCAUGUUAAAGGGGAAGUAGAGAACAUUGGUCACUUUGUGUGAUAUUGGUGCUAAAUGAUAGCUAGUGAAGCAGUGAGUACUUUAGUGAAGACGGAAUUGAAAACGGAUAAUCGAGUAGAAAGAUAUGCGAAUUUCAAACUAGAAAACUUAAGUUCCUAACUUGAUUAACCAUGCAUAUUUAAGUUUGUUUUUAUUAGUUUUAGUUUUAGAAUGGAUAAAUGAUGUUGUUUCGUAUUGAAUUGCUCCUAUUGUAGAUAAAAACGAAGCGAACAUCUUGAAGGAGAAAGACGAAGAAAAUGAGUAAAAUGAUUAAUGCUUCGGUUUGUGCUAAUAUCUUAUUUUCAUUACAUAAAGCUUUACAAUAUAUAGUUUACUAUGACUAGUUAUAUUGAUUUUAUUUUAUUUUUAUGAGUUUUGGAUGAGUUUGAAUGAUUUAGUUAAUACUUAUAAAAUUAUGUUUCAAGAUGAAUACUAUGUUUUUCAUAUGAUCAAAUUAGCAAAUUCAUGGUUAUGAUUUGGAUUUGAGUAUUAUGAUUUUAGAUGAUUGAGUAAGAAAAUGAUUAAUAUGUUUUGAAUUGGAAGUCUAGUUUUAUAUUAGGCGAUAUAUGAUUUGAACAUGAAACGGAAUUGAAAUGAGAAUUAUAUGAAAAAGGAAUUGAAAUGGAUCAUGAAAUUUGGUUUUUACCUCGUUUCACUAAGUUAGACUAAAUCAGAUAUAAUUGAAAUAGAGAAUUUAGAUCUCUCCAAUUCCUAGAGUGUCGAGGGAGAAAUGGUCAAGUCGGUCAGUUGUUAUUAUUGUUAGCCCCAAUUCCUAGAGGGUCAUGGGCAGUCCCAAUUCCCAGAGGGUCGUGGACUACUCUGAUAGCCGUCGUUGUCGAACAACUCAGGGUGGCGGAUACGUAUAUCUGGUUAUGAGUCUAAACUUUAGUACGGGGUCUAAAUUGAAAGAAAAACAAAAACAAAACUUGAAUUUAUUUGAAUUUUCAUAUUGUGCAAAUUAAAUUAAUUAAUGCGAUUUUGAAUUUAAUUAAAAAAUUUAUUUUCUUUAUUUGAUUUGUCAAUAUUAAAAUAUUAAAGUCUAUUAAUAUUAGAAAUUUUUUUUAUUGUGAUGUUAUUAAUAAUAUUUAUAAUCAUAUUUUAGUUUAUUUCUAUCAAUUAAUUUGUAUUCAAUACUUAUGUAAUGAUUUAUAUGAUAUUAGCACCAUUGAGCAUAAAAAUUGCUCAGCGCACGGUUUGUCUAUUUUUCUUUGCGUGGGUAGUUAGAUUCGCUAAAUCGUUGCAGUAGCAUCCGAAGAAUCGAAGUUCAGCUCAAACAAUGUUGGUGAGGAGUUUACUUUAUAGUUGAUGUAAAUGGCAUGUACUCAGGCUUGUAUAUAUAUAAUAUUAUGUCGUAAACUGAAUUUAAAUAUUUUCAUUAUGUUUUCUUUGCUAAUAUUUUAUAACUAAUGUUUUGGAUGAAAUAGUAAAGCGUAGAAAUAUAGUUUAUUGGUAUGUUUUGAGAAAUUGUAGUGCUGGGAAUUGAUUUGGGAGAUAAUUUGAAUGUGGAUAUUUUGUGAAAAUCUAAAUUUUGUAGGAGGUUUUAUGUAAAAUAGGCAGAAAUGCUGUCGAAAUUUUUAUAAAAUAAUUUUACCACUACGUUUCCUUAAAAAAAAGAUAGAAAAGUGAGUUGCUUCGGCAACGAAAUGUGACAUUUUAUAUUCGGAUCCAACAACUAGGUCGGGUAUAAGGUGUCACAAAACGCAUCCAUUGAGUACCCCGAUGGUUGUAUGAUCCUUGGAUUGAAUUUGUCCUUGUGAGAAUGAUGAAUAUUUUCUUGGUCUUGAAGCAUCAUAUCUAAAUAACAUUGAUGUAUCUUGCAAACAACACAAGACCUGAUAUAACUUUUGUUGUAAACUUGUUAGCAAGAUUUAGUUAUUCUCCAACACGUAGACAUUGGAAUGGAAUUAAACAUGUAUUCAGAUAUCUCAGAAUGACCAUUAAUAUGAGAUUAUUUUAUUCAAAUGAUUCAAAAUCUCUAUUAGUUGGCUAUGCUAAUGUUGGUUAUUUAUCGAAUCCACAUAAAGGUUGAUCUCAAACGGGAUAUUUAUUUGCAUGUGGGGGUACUGUCAUAUCAUGGCGUUCAACAAAGCAAACAUUAGCUGUCGCUUAUUCGAAUCAUGCAGAAAUAAUUGCAAUGCAUGAGGCACGUCGAGAGUGUGUUUGGUUAAGGUUAUUGACCCAACAUAUCCAGAAGAUAUGUAAUUUGCCUUCACAGAAAAAUAUGUCAACUAUCUUAUAUGAAGAUAAUGCAACAUGUAUAGUUCAAUUGAAGGGUGGUUACAUCAAAGGUGACAGAACGAAACAUAUUUUACCAAAAUAAUUCUUCACCCAUGAUCUUGAGAAAAGAGGUGAUAUAAAUGUCCAACAAAUUCAUUCUAAUGAUAAUUUAGCAGAUCUUUUUAUUAAGGCAUUGCCAACUUUAAUAUUUGAAAUACUACUACACAAGAUUGAAAUGCGUCGACUUAAAGAUUUAAUGUAAUGUUGCCAUAGGGGGAGUCUAAAAACAAGUUGUACUAUUUUCCUUUAACCAAGGUUUUGUCCCAUUGAAUUUUCCUAGUAAAGGUUUUUAAUGAGGCAGUUAUCACAAGUUGUACAAAUUAUUUCUUAAUGUGACAUGUACGAUAAAUAGUGUCAUGUCAACAUGAAGUAGACAUGAACUUCCAUGCAUGUUAUCACACUAACAUCGUUAAAAAAUUUUAUGUUUUAGACAAUAUUUCCAUUAAAAAAAAUCAAAAUGACACUUUGAAAGCUUAAUGGUCAGUUUUAACUCAAUAAAAAAUAAGAGCUAAAUUAGCAAAAAAAUAUCAACAUUAAAGGCUAAAUCUAUGAUUAUGCCUUUUUCAAACCAUAGUGAUAGUUUAUAUAAUAUGUUUAAGUAGUUCAUAAAUAAUUAAAAAUUAGUAAAACGAAAAAGAAUAGAUUUUUAAAUAAAAAUAAAUAUAUUCAUUAGUUGUAGAAAUGCAGAGUUGUAAAGAGAUUAUAAGAAACCAAGGUUUCACUAAGUAGUUAUAAAUGGUCUGAUUAAAAAAGGGGAGGGGAUAUAUUAAUGUAAUGAAAUGCAAUGAAUUUAUGCCAUUGUGGCUCAAAGCAUGAAUUCUUCCCUGGAAGACAUUAGUGUCAAAGAUAUUUAUAGGGGUAUAGGUUCCAGUUGGAGCUGCAGAAAUUCAGAUACAUGGAAAUGUAUGUACCUGAUGAGUAAUAUCCAACGGUUGGGGAAGAAAGAGCUUAUUCCAGGCAGGGAGGAAAAUGGGGGCAUCUUUCUUCUUUAUGUUAAAAGGGCAAUAACCACAAUUAUUCGAGGCAGGGAGGAAAAUGGGGACCCCUUUGGUUCAAAUCAGUGUUUAUUCAACUAUGAAGCUCCUGCUGAUGCAGUGUUAUAGGAUUUCUUGCUUGCAAACAGAAUCAAAUACAUAAUUGAUUAUGAAGCAACUUUUAAAGCAGGAAUAGAACUUUUUCAAAGUCAUUGCUAAAUGAUGACAUGAUAUACAGAAAUUGGAAAUAUUCUAUCCAUUUCCCAAAUACACCAUGGGUAAUAAAUAGGAUACUAUAUACAUAAUUGUCACCAUCCAUCUACCGAUAUUAAACCCAAGGAGAUUGUUAAGCACUGUCAAGCUUUCAUCUUCUCCCUUGUAACCCAUCAUCUACUGCAUUACAAUCCCAGGCUUUCAAUGUGCCCAGAACGGUUUAGCCGGAGUGCGCUUCAGUGCCUUCACUGCCAAAGGAUUGCCCUUGCUCUGCCAAACAAACAACUGUUAAAAACUUCAAUUGAAACAAAUAGAAUGAAAGGAUUGAUGACUUUGGACUCAAGCGUACCAUCAAGCAGGUGCCUUCAUGUAUGUUGCACACAGGGUAGUCAUGAGGGCAGCAGCUGUAGCGAUCUUCGCAGCACGUGGCAGCCUCGAGUGGGCAGCAUCCCCAAGCAAAGCAGUAGUUAUAGUACUCGUAUAUGCAGCAGCAGGUAUUGCUCUCGGGACAGGAAUAAUAACUAUCGCACACGGUCGGAGGUUUUAUAGGAGAUGGUGGAGACGGUCCGGGAUUGGGGGGAUUUUCACCUGUUUUGAUCGGAUAAGAGGCUUCCAUCGCGAUCCCACAUUUGCCAGUUACGGUAUUGGCCACAUUCCUUGCCAUCCUGAUAUAGCCUGCUUCUCCCCAGCUGCUUCCCCAUGAGUUCUUUACAAUCCAAUAGUCUUUACCUUUCUCUGUGCCAUAUCCAACAGCAGUGACACCGUGGUCUAGUUGUGUUCCACAUUUUCCAUCAAAUAUACCCUGGAAAAAACCGUAAAAAUGUCAUUUAUCGGACAGUGCUCGGACUUUGAU